CCUACGGGUGGCAGCAGUGGGGAAUAUUGGACAAUGGGGGGAACCCUGAUCCAGCCAUGCCGCGUGUGUGAAGAAGGCCCUCGGGUUGUAAAGCACUUUCAGUGAGGAAGAACGCCUGGUGGUUAAUACCCAUCAGGAAAGACAUCACUCACAGAAGAAGCACCGGCUAACUCCGUGCCAGCAGCCGCGGUAAUACGGAGGGUGCGAGCGUUAAUCGGAAUUACUGGGCGUAAAGCGCGCGUAGGUGGCUUGAUAAGCCGGUUGUGAAAGCCCCGGACUCAACCUGGGAACGGCAUCCGGAACUGUCAAGCUAGAGUGCAGGAGAGGAAGGUAGACUUCCCGGUGUAGCGGUGAAAUGCGUAGAGAUCGGGAGGAAUACCAGUGGCGAAGGCGGCCUUCUGGACUGACACUGACACUGAGGUGCGAAAGCGUGGGUAGCAAACAGGAUUAGAUACCCGAGUAGUC
RNAcentral lists this ribosomal RNA (465 nucleotides) under Vreelandella stevensii. Its description in RNAcentral is "partial 16S ribosomal RNA". It matches the Rfam family "Bacterial small subunit ribosomal RNA", at positions 338 to 795 of the family's 1533-position model. Lineage: Bacteria; Pseudomonadati; Pseudomonadota; Gammaproteobacteria; Oceanospirillales; Halomonadaceae. The record is from RNAcentral.